Molecule: long non-coding RNA, 2795 nt
Filed under: Sus scrofa (pig)
Lineage: Eukaryota; Metazoa; Chordata; Mammalia; Artiodactyla; Suidae
Description: lncRNA (ENSSSCG00030064586.1)
Source: RNAcentral
GGAGUUCCCGUCGUGGCGCAGUGGUUAACAAAUCCAACUAGGAACCAUGAGGUUGCGGGUUCAAUCCCUGCCCUUUCUCAGUGGGUUAACGAUCCGGCGUUGCCGUGAACUGUGGUGUAGGUUGCAGAUGCUACUCAGAUCCCGCGUUGCUGUGGCUCUGGUGUAGGCUGGUGGCUAUAGCUCCGAUUAGACCCCUAGCCUGGGAACCUCCACGUGCCGCGGAAGUGGCCCAAGAAAUAGCAAAAAGACAAAAAAAAAAAAAAUCAAAUCAUUAAGAUUCAUAGCAAAAUUGGGAAAGGACUGAAAUUAGUGUGUGGAGGUAGUUAUAAAUAAGAAAUAAAGCAACUAUAUUUAAUUUUUUUAAAAAAUUUAAAAAAGAAAGCUAGAUUUGAAACUUGGUUCUACCCCUGAUAACUAUGUGGCCUCAGAUGAGUUUCCUAAACUUCCUCAUUUGUGAAAUGACAAUAAAACAUAGGAUUAUUUAAGAUGAUAAGAGAUGAAAAAAAGUUUAUAAAGUUAUGUUUUUGAGUCAUAGCACAACCUGUUUCAGUAGAAAUUUUCUCAAGGCCACCAUAACAUCUUUGUUUCUCAGACAAUAUAUCAUAGGGUUAAACACUGGUGUGACAAUGGUGUAAAAAAGAGAAAGAAAUUUGUCCACCCCUAUUGAACGACUGAAAUUUGGUCUCAAAUAUGUCAUGAUGCCUGAUCCAAAGAAUAAAGCCACAACGAUGAGAUGGGAGGAACAGGUGGAAAAGGCUUUGGCUCGCCCCGUGGCUGAAGGCAGGUUCAAGAUGCUCCCAGUUAUUUUCACAUACGAUCCAAGAAUCAACAUAAAAGGAAUAGUGACAACUAGGACAGCAACCACAUAAAUCAACAGCUCAAUCAAAGAGGUAUCCCCACAGGUGAGUUUAAGGACUGGAGGUAUGUCACAGAAAAAGUGAUUCAACUGGUUCGAGCCACAGAAAGGGAGAGAGAAGAUCUGGUAGGUAAAGCCUACAUGCACUGGGAUUCCACUGACCCAACAGCCAGCUGCCAGUCGGAUGCACAGCCUACUGUUCAUGAUGAGUGGGUAGAGUAAUGGGUUGCAAAUGGCAACGUACCUGUCAUAAGCCAUGGCAGUCAGAAGAAAACACUCAGUUGCUCCCAACACCAGAAAGAAGUACAUUUGAGUAGCACAGGCCAGAAAGGAUAUGUUUCUGUUUUGUCUGCAAAGAUCUGUCAAUAAUCUGGGGACAGUGACUGAUACGUAACAUAUUUCCAAGGAUGAAAAGUUCCUCAGGGAAAAAUACAUAGGGGUCUGGAGGGAAGGAUCAAUCUUGGUUAUGAUGAUAAUCAGGCUAUUUCCCAUCAGAAUAAUCACAUAGAUGAUCAAAAACACCCCAAAAAGAAAUCCUUGGAGGCUGGGGGCAUCAGAGAAGCCAAGCAAGAUGAAAUCCAGCAAUGUAGUCUGAUUCCACUGCAAGGAAUUUUGUCCCCUGGUUCCUGUCUAUGAACAAAAAAGUUUAGGAUUCACUUCAGUUUGAUGGGUCCAGCAGAAAAUGGGCCAUAACAAUUUAUGCUUUUAAAUGCACUGACACAGGAUAGAUAUCCAUCUUUUGGGUUUGUUUAAUAUUUUUGUUAAUGAUUUCUAAACCACAAUUUAAAAACAGAAAAUAAUAUGAAACCCUCUCAUUUCUGCCCAUAUUAAAGAUUAUGAAUAUAUGAAUAACCCAGCACACACACACACACACACACAUGCACACACACGCACACACACACAAACAGUGAUGUAAGAGCCAAUACAUAAAGUUAUCUAUUCUCAGAAAAAGUACUGCUCUAGGCAACAUGGGGCAUUCUCUCCUGAAAAACGUUUCUCUGUCCUGAUCAUUUUAGUCUCUGUUUGCUUAAUUGUUUAUUUUCUGCCUACCCCCUAUUACCUGCAAUCAUUUAUACGAUUCUCUCACAUUCACUUUGAUGUUGUCCCUGAGAGCUCCAUCUCACAUAGUCAGAAAGCAGGGGUGAUCAGUAAGACUUUGCUGCUAGGCCAAGUUCAGGCUAGCCUGGCCACUCGCUAUCUGGGAAAGAGACUUACACACUGAACAGUAAAAUAAGAAAUAUUUUCUUGCCUCCAUUAUAGAAAAAUAUUCCAUUAAACAUAUCAGAGAAAUGUAUGUGAGAAAUAAAAUAUCCUGUGAGUCACAUGUUAACUUGACCCUUAGAAAAUGAAAUAAAAUGAAUAGGAUUUUGUCAUAAUAGGUUCUCAACCCCACUAGGAACCUCAACCCUCUUAACAACCCUACUUAUUCAAAAUUGUAGACCUGUAAUAUUAAUUAAAUAUGUUUAUACCCUUUAUGGGUUAAUUUUUUAAAAGCAGAAAAUAAAAUGUAUAAAAAAAAAGAAUUUGACCUCAGAAAUCAUAUACCUCACACCUGACAAAAUGCAAUAUCUGUCUGUAUGUUAUAUUUAUCUUUAAAUAUGAAUUUCUGAAUAUAUAUAAAACAUACAUUGUGGAUGUGUUAUAUGGGUAUAUACAUAAUGUAUAUUCUAAAUCACUAUAUCUGAAUUACUAUCAGAAAGCCUGGUGCUGUAGUUCCCAUUGUGGCCUAGCGGGUUAAGAACUGACAUAGUCUAUCUGAGGAUGCUGAUUUGAUCCCCCGUCUUCCUCAGUGGGUUAAGGACACACUGCCACAACCUGAUGAGGUGAAUGUGAUGCUGCUCUGGCUGAGGCUGUGGCAUAGGCUGUAGCUGCAGCUCUGAUGUGACCCCUGGUCUGGGAACUUCCAUAGGCUGCAGCUGUGGCUGUAAAAAAAAAAAAA